UUGGUCGGAGUCUUGUAAAUGGAGUCGGCACUCGGUCAACCGUGCCUCCUGGUAAAAGGAGUGUACAAAAAGAAGUCAUAAGGAAGUUCUUGGGGU
Long non-coding RNA from Ipomoea nil (Japanese morning glory), 96 nucleotides. RefSeq lists it as uncharacterized. The record is from RefSeq and is a predicted model, not a curated record. NCBI's taxonomy places the organism in Eukaryota, Viridiplantae, Streptophyta, Magnoliopsida, Solanales, Convolvulaceae. The transcript is spliced from 4 exons.